CAAAGUGCUGUUCGUGCAGGUAGUGUGAUUACCCGACCUACUGCUGAGCUAGCACUUCCCGA
This 62-nucleotide microRNA precursor is filed under the name Pongo abelii (Sumatran orangutan). RNAcentral describes it as "Pab-Mir-17-P4d_pre stem-loop". It matches the Rfam family "mir-17 microRNA precursor family", at positions 11 to 80 of the family's 80-position model. From Rfam's summary of the family: This family represents the microRNA (miRNA) precursor mir-17, family, which includes mir-20, mir-91, and mir-103. miRNAs are transcribed as ~70nt precursors (modelled here) and subsequently processed by the Dicer enzyme to give a ~22nt product. In this case the mature sequence comes from the 3' arm of the precursor. The extents of the hairpin precursors are not generally known and are estimated based on hairpin prediction. RNAcentral also lists the same sequence under 1 other name. Lineage: Eukaryota; Metazoa; Chordata; Mammalia; Primates; Hominidae. The record is from RNAcentral.